CCUACGGGGUGCAGCAGUGGGGAAUAUUGGACAAUGGGCGAAAGCCUGAUCCAGCCAUGCCGCGUGUGUGAAGAAGGCCUUCGGGUUGUAAAGCACUUUCAGUGGGGAAGAAAGCCUUGGGGCUAAUACCCUCGAGGAAGGACAUCACCCACAGAAGAAGCACCGGCUAACUCCGUGCCAGCAGCCGCGGUAAUACGGAGGGUGCGAGCGUUAAUCGGAAUUACUGGGCGUAAAGCGCGCGUAGGCGGUCUGAUAAGCCGGUUGUGAAAGCCCCGGGCUCAACCUGGGAACGGCAUCCGGAACUGUCAGGCUAGAGUGCAGGAGAGGAAGGUAGAAUUCCCGGUGUAGCAGUGAAAUGCGUAGAGAGCGGGAGGAAUACCAGUGGCGAAGGCGGCCUUCUGGACUGACACUGACGCUGAGGUGCGAAAGCGUGGGUAGCAAACAGGAUUAGAUACCCCUGUAGUC
RNAcentral lists this ribosomal RNA (465 nucleotides) under Vreelandella stevensii. RNAcentral describes it as "partial 16S ribosomal RNA". It matches the Rfam family "Bacterial small subunit ribosomal RNA", at positions 338 to 795 of the family's 1533-position model. The record is from RNAcentral. Lineage: Bacteria; Pseudomonadati; Pseudomonadota; Gammaproteobacteria; Oceanospirillales; Halomonadaceae.